RNAcentral lists this ribosomal RNA (204 nucleotides) under uncultured bacterium. Its description in RNAcentral is "partial 16S ribosomal RNA". It matches the Rfam family "Bacterial small subunit ribosomal RNA", at positions 332 to 526 of the family's 1533-position model. The record is from RNAcentral.
AUUACUCCUACGGGAGGCAGCAGUGGGGAAUAUUGCGCAAUGGGGGAAACCCUGACGCAGCAACGCCGCGUGAGUGACGAAGGCCUUCGGGUCGUAAAGCUCUGUCGGAGGGGAAGAAACUAUCUAUGGCUAACAUCCAUAGGUAUUGACGGUACCCUCAAAGGAAGCACCGGCUAACUCCGUGCCAGCAGCCGCGGUAAUAAU